RNAcentral lists this transfer RNA (72 nucleotides) under Camelus bactrianus (Bactrian camel). It matches the Rfam family "tRNA". Rfam says of the family: Transfer RNA (tRNA) molecules are approximately 80 nucleotides in length. Their secondary structure includes four short double-helical elements and three loops (D, anti-codon, and T loops). RNAcentral also lists the same sequence under 2 other names. The record is from Rfam by way of RNAcentral. Lineage: Eukaryota; Metazoa; Chordata; Mammalia; Artiodactyla; Camelidae.
GAAGUUAUAGUUCAGUGGUGGAGUACAUGCCUAGCAUGCAUGAGGUCCUGGGUUCAAUCUCCAGUACCCCCA